This 291-nucleotide unclassified non-coding RNA is filed under the name Hevea brasiliensis (rubber tree). The record is from RNAcentral. Lineage: Eukaryota; Viridiplantae; Streptophyta; Magnoliopsida; Malpighiales; Euphorbiaceae.
UGCGCCCAAUGAGAACAUAUAUUGUGAAAAUGCAACCUGAUCUGAUCAGGACAGCUUCAGAAACCAAAGGGUGAUCUUCUCCUGCUUCCACCUUCUCCAUAUUGCUCGUUCCAUUUCCUCAGCUCAUUCAUGCUUGCAGCAUCAUAGGCAACGGAUGGACCCACCUUUGCUUUUGACUGAAUGAAAUCAUCCAAAUUAAGUGACCUUAAAGCUGAAGCAACAUCACCUUUACCACCCUUCUUUUCUUCUUCUAGAAGUUCCUGGACAGGUCUAUAUGCUGCAGCAAUACAG